UAAAAAUAAUAAGUAUAUUAAAAAAGAGUAAAAGGAGAGGUAUUUUGAAAUACCUCAUAUUCACUUCAUUUCAUCUUCUUCACUCUUCAUCAUUGCCAAGCCUCGAACCGUGUUUCACAAGGUUGAAGAAAUAAUUUCUAACCAAAUGACUUCACGGGAAACAGGCAACAUCAUUGGUCAUAUAUUAAAUUUAACUAUUAAUAUAUAUUUUCCAAAAUCCAGUAAAGCACUAGAGAGGUAUUCAAUGUAUUUGUUGUAUCCAAUGCAUUAG
Molecule: long non-coding RNA, 271 nt
Filed under: Lathyrus oleraceus (garden pea)
Lineage: Eukaryota; Viridiplantae; Streptophyta; Magnoliopsida; Fabales; Fabaceae
Description: Pisum sativum (pea) long non-coding RNA (PSAT_LNC009111)
Source: RNAcentral